This 492-nucleotide ribosomal RNA is filed under the name uncultured bacterium. RNAcentral describes it as "partial 16S ribosomal RNA". It matches the Rfam family "Bacterial small subunit ribosomal RNA", at positions 29 to 507 of the family's 1533-position model. The record is from RNAcentral.
AGUGAACGCUGGCGGUAGGCCUAACACAUGCAAGUCGAACGGCAGCACAGUAAGAGCCUGCUCUUACGGGUGGCGAGUGGCGGACGGGUGAGGAAUACAUCGGAAUCUACUUUUUCGUGGGGGAUAACGUAGGGAAACUUACGCUAAUACCGCAUACGACCUACGGGCGAAAGCAGGGGAUCUUCGGACCUUGCGCGAUUGAAUGAGCCGAUGUCGGAUUAGCUAGUUGGCGGGGUAAAGGCCCACCAAGGCGACGAUCCGUAGCUGGUCUGAGAGGAUGAUCAGCCACACUGGAACUGAGACACGGUCCAGACUCCUACGGGAGGCAGCAGUGGGGAAUAGUGGACAAAGGGCGCAAGCCUGAUCCAGCCAUACCGCGUGGGUGAAGAAGGCCUUCGGGUUGUAAAGCCCUUUUGUUGGGAAAGAAAAGCAGCAGGUUAAUACCCCGCUGUUCUGACGGUACCCAAAGAAUAAGCACCGGCUAACUUCGUG